This is a long non-coding RNA of Magallana angulata, 498 nucleotides long. RefSeq lists it as uncharacterized. Lineage: Eukaryota; Metazoa; Mollusca; Bivalvia; Ostreida; Ostreidae. The record is from RefSeq and is a predicted model, not a curated record. The transcript is spliced from 3 exons.
CAGAGAUUGUGGGACUAGUAAGUGUCACGUUUGAUCAUUAAAUUUAUGUAGUAGGGGAAAAAAGGGAAAACCAUUGUCUCUUUAUCCAUGGAAAGAAGCUGAGAAAAAAAUCAGAUCCGAAUAUCCAAAAAUUGCUAUUCAGGUACUUCCGGAAGGAAGCUUCGUGACGAUGGACUAUCGCACGGACCGGGUCAGGCUAUUUACCGACGGGGACGGGAAAGUAGUGCAGGUUCCAUCAAUUGGAUAGCUCGAGUCCAGACGACUCCACUGCGGGUCCAACAGCCUCGGUAUGAACCGCUGGGUCCCCACGGACCGACAUCCCAGUCUGACCAAUAUGUCUGGAUAAUGCUAGGAUACAGCAAAGUGACUUAGUGUUAACAUAAAUGACCGCCAUAUGAUUUUGGUAGGAUGUAACAAUUCUUUAUUCUAUCAUUUCACGUUCUUACUGUCCUUCCAUAUAUACUUCAUUUUAAUAAAUAAUAUAUACAACAUGACAAU